This is a non-coding RNA of Danio rerio (zebrafish), 728 nucleotides long. The record is from RefSeq and is a predicted model, not a curated record. Lineage: Eukaryota; Metazoa; Chordata; Actinopteri; Cypriniformes; Danionidae.
AAUCCCAUUGGCAGAUCAGCAGAAACAGCUUCAGCCAAUGACAGUGCAGUGUAUUCACUAGUAUCAGCCAAUCAGAGCGAGGAUCUUUAUACCAACAUUACAUCAGUGAAACCCAAACGCUCCAGCAGAGCAGAAGCAGGAGAUGUGGAGGAUCUUCAAUACGCCAGUGUUCAUCACUUCAAGAACAAAGACAUGAAGACUGAAGAACAUCAGAAGAUGGAGAUGCAGCGUCCGUCUGAUGCCAACAGAUGUGAGGAUGUGAUUUACAGCUCAGUCAAAUAAACAACAUUGGCUUGAUGCUGUUGAUGAUGAUCAGAGACUGCUUGAGUUCUGCUGAUUCACAGAUUUUGCUCAUCAUUAGAGGACGUCAACAUCUGAUUUCAGGCUUAUUUGCUGAUGUGUGUGUUUAUUGUACAGAGUGUGUUUGUUCUGGAAAUGCAUUUCAGGAGGAAAUCAUCAUAAAGAAAUGCAUUCAUAUAUUAUAUUCAUAUAACCUUCAUAAUUCUCCCUCAUUAUUGUUAAUUAGUGUCUUCACUGGAGGAUGAACAGAUUGAACUGAUGAUUUGUACAGAUGAGCAGUGUUUUUAUCUCAAACUCAAAUCAAUCUGUAAAUAAUUCUAUUAAAGUGACUGGAUUUGACUGAACUGUGUUUGCUGGAGUAACCUACUAAUGUCUGUUGUGUUGUAGUGUCAUAUAUCACACAAUAAACAUUGAUUUAUUAAUAAUUA